Boleophthalmus pectinirostris (great blue-spotted mudskipper) is the source of this 2236-nucleotide long non-coding RNA. RefSeq lists it as uncharacterized. The record is from RefSeq and is a predicted model, not a curated record. The transcript has 2 exons. NCBI's taxonomy places the organism in Eukaryota, Metazoa, Chordata, Actinopteri, Gobiiformes, Gobiidae.
GACUCCAUAGAAGUGUUGAUCAAAUAGAGGAACAAGAGCUCAAAAUGACCUAAAGACAUUUGGACAAAACGACAAAAAAAAUCCACUUUGAAGGAGUUGAACGAUUGUGUUUUAUUAGUCUGAAUAAUAUGAACCAGGACUAAACUGGCCCGGUGCCAGUCUCAGUCUCAGGUCUGGUCCCGGUCUGGUCAGUCUGCUCGAUGCAGUCCAAUUCUGCCAUUUUUUCAAACGAAACCAGAUGCAGAGGAACUGCGCAGCUGGCGAUCCUUCUGGAGCGAAUAGAACGGAUUUACUCGAGCAACCUGGACGCACAGAUGAAGUGAGUGACUGAAAAAAGUCAAGCGGCAAACUUGGACGUGAUUUAUUUGCACCAUUCACGUUUGGCCUGAACAUGGCUUAAUGCUCAAAGCACUUUACAUACUUAGCAUUAAGACAGAGACAUUUACAAGUCUGAGGACUGCAUGAACAGAGUACUCGGAGUACUCGGAGUACUCGGAGUACUCGGAGUACUCGGAGACUCGGAGGACUCGGAGGUUAGUCAGACCACUCCUGUCCUGUCUUCUGCAGCCAGUGGUGGAAUGUAAUGAAGUAUUCAAGUGCUGUACUUUAUCAUUUUUAGGUGUGUUUUUAUGUUAUAGAAUGAAAAUUUAACCACAAAAUCAUUUUGAAUCAUGUUCUGUUUGUUGCAGCUCAGCUCUUUAACCCUCGUGCACCCCUUUAAAAAUAGUUACACCUGUGUCCUUCGUGACAAAAAUGUACAUCGAAAAAGAAUACCACAAUAUUUUUAUGCAGUACAGAUUUUUGUCCAACUUUUUUAUAUCAGUGUCUUUAUUUAAUUUACUUCUGCCUGAAUCAUACACACCAAAUAUUCUAUAAUAUUUUGACAUUUUAAACCAAGCACAUAUUUUGUGCAUGAAAGAGUUUUUGCACAAAAUUCUGUUUUCCCCUAAAGCCCCAUUGACUUCCAUUAUAACCACACAUUUUUUGGUUGCACUGAUGUAACACUAGAAAAUCAUAAAUUGUGGAUUUGUACAGGUUUCUCCUGUUAAGAAAAGGUAAAAUUUGUGAUUUUCACAGUUGAAACUCACCCCAUCCCACCUUGUGCAGGCCUGUAAACACAGCUGGAGUUUUCCUGUGAUUCCCUGUGGAGUUCUAUGGGAUUUCUCAGGGAUUGUGUACAGGAGGGUUCUGGGGGCAUAUACUUGCCUGGGGUGGGUUGUGGGAGUGUGUGGGGGUACUGGGGGUUGUCGGGAGAUUGUGUGUGUGUGUAUUCACAUACAUGGGUCUGUGUGGGGGGGUGAAGGGGGGUCAUAUUUGCAUUGUGUAAAAAUGACAGAAAAUGUAAAUAUUAUGAUCAUGCUUGAAAUGGUGGAACUAAAAAUCAUAGAAAAGAAAUCUCCAAACCUCCAAAAAACACUCAAAUAUAACAAUUUUGAACAGAUCUGAACACACUGACAGGAGAAAAACAAGUAAUUAAGUGAAGUAAAAUUGCAGUUACUCUGCUUUUUAAAAAAAAAAAACAUUUUCAGUGUUUAUCACUGGAGGCGUAAACAAUCACACAGACACACACACACACACACUGCUCUAGGACUCCUCUGGAACAUCAUCUCAUUUUAACCUCUUAUCUACAUCUCUGGCCUUCAGUGUGAACUAAUGUGUACAAAAGUCUUUAUAUUGAUAAAACCUUCAAUGGAAGAUACACAGUAAAAAGAAAAAUAUGAAAAAAGACACUACAACAAUUUUGAAGGGUUUUCAACAUCAAAGAAUGGAAAAUAAAUCAAAAAGUAAAAUUCACUGGCAAAGUUUUGCCAGUGAAAAAAGCCAUUUUAAAUGGAAGUCAAUGGGACAAAAAUGUACCGAAGGAGCACAGGUGUGAGUAUUUUGAUUAUAGACCAGAAAAUUAAUAUGAUCUUGAAAAAAACACAGAAAUUAAAAAUACACCACAAAAUACACAAACUGACCAAUUUUGGUGCUAUUUGGUGCAAUAAUGCCAAAGUUAUGCAAAAAAGAAAAGUUGAGAUGAACAAAAAUGUACGUAGGGGAGUAAGAGGGUUAAAUGAUUCUGUAGGUUUAAAAACUGGUUCAAAAUGUGUUCUCAGGCAAAGUUAUUUGUACUGUAUGGGUCAAAUUUUACUUUUAUAAGGUUUUUGGGUAUUUAUGGUACAUUUUAUAAACGGUUACUUUUUCAUUUAUUUUUUUGUAAAUUGUAUUUACAAAUAAAUGAAAAUAGACUAAA